UUGUGUUUUUUUUUCUUUGACACAAAGUAAAAUUAUAAUUAAUAUUGAAUAAAGUAAAAAUGAACUCCUGAGUUCCAGUCCCUUAUGUAACACACCUGGUUUGUGGCAGGCACUCAGGAAAUAUUAGUUGCAUGAACGAAGGCUGCAUUUUCAUUAGAACAACAUGCAGUUCAACCCCUUCAUGUUUCAAUGAGGGUUCAGAUACCCAGAGGGCUAUGCUAUCAUCCUGGAGCCCACUCUGCUAACAAUUAGCAGAACGGAAGCCUUAAUUUCCAGAUUCUAGUGAACUUGAUGAGUCAAGACUAUUGCAAUUGGAAAUCUGUUCUCCUCUGCUGCUGCAUUCCCUGCUUAAUACUCAAGCCAGAAACCAGGAAGGCUGUGGCUUGCCUUUUCACUUCUUGUGUCCUGUUUAAGAAAUAUCUGCUAUCCCAAGCAUCUGGCAUCUUUCUUGACAUAUGUAGCAGUUGCUUUUUGACAGCUUGCUUCUUCAGUGAAUGAAUAAAUUAAUAAAGAGAAAUGUGAUGUUCAGUGAUCCAUUUUGCAGAUUGCAAACUCCUAGAGAAGGGCUCAACAGUGAGUGCUGAGGCUGCACAGAGGAGGAAGGCAGCACAAUGAUGGAAGGCUUCCUAAAGAGAUAACACUAACAAAGUUGACCUUAGAAUUGGAGUGCCUGGGUUAGAACCCUGCUGGUACCACCUGCUUACUGCAUGCUUCUGAUGUGAGUUCAGGAGAAGACACUGGCAAGGACAGCAAAGAACAGGAGAACACUCUAGCUUCCCUGAUAGCAUUCAAGGUGCUGUCCAAACUGACUGUGAUGGCACCCUCCAGACAGACAGCGAUGCCACAUGUUCAAGAUGGCAGAAUCACUAUCAGCUUCAAUUCCUGAAUGACUGCAGAGCAAAAUUUCUUACCUGCAACAUACACUCUAUUUUCAGCCUCCCUGGACUGUUACAUAAUGAUACAUAAAAAUAUUUCUUGUGUUGAGGCAUCCCAAAUUUGAUUUAUUUGUCAUCACAGUCUAUCCUAUGAAUAUAUUUCUGAUCCAAAUAAUGCUAGAUUCAUGAGAGUUUAUAGUCCAGAGAUUUUUUUUUUUUUUUUGAGACAGAAUCUGUCUCCCAGGCUGGGGUGCAGUGGCAUAAUCUUAGCUCACUGCAACCUCUGCCUCCCGGGCUCAAGUGAUCCUCCCUCCUUAGCCUCCAUGAGUAGCUGGGACCACAGGUGUGCACCACCACACCCCGCUAAUUAUUUUGUAUUUUUUGCAGAGGGGGGUUUCACCACAUUGCCCAAGCUGGUCUCAAACUCCUAGACUUAAGGGAUCUGCCUGCCUUGGCCUCCCAAAAUGCUGAAAUUACACUUGUUAGCCAUAGUAAUAGUUCCUAGCCAUAGUCCGGAGAUAUUUUAAAAACUUUAGUGUGAGUUAUUUCUCUUUGCUAUAAUUCUCUCAUGCAUUUUGAAAACCUUUUCUGCCAUACAGUGGUUUUUGGGAAGUCCUUUUGGACAGACAUAUCACAGGAUGGAGAAACUAAAAAGAGAGAAUGCAUUAAAGAAAAAAUAGUACU
Molecule: long non-coding RNA, 1559 nt
Filed under: Homo sapiens (human)
Lineage: Eukaryota; Metazoa; Chordata; Mammalia; Primates; Hominidae
Description: cancer susceptibility 19
Source: RNAcentral